UACGGGGGGGGCAAGCGUUGUUCGGAAUUACUGGGCGUAAAGGGUGCGUAGGCGGCUUUCUAAGUUGGAUGUGAAAACUAUGGGCUCAACCCAUAGCCUGCAUCCAAAACUGGAGAGCUUGGGUUCUGGAGGGGAAAGCGGAAUUCCUGGUGUAGCGGUGAAAUGCGUAGAUAUCAGGAGGAACACCGGUGGCGAAGGCGGCUUUCUGGGCAGACACCGACGCUGAGGCACGAAAGCUAGGGGAGCAAACAGG
This 253-nucleotide ribosomal RNA is filed under the name uncultured bacterium. RNAcentral's name for it is "partial 16S ribosomal RNA". It matches the Rfam family "Bacterial small subunit ribosomal RNA", at positions 524 to 776 of the family's 1533-position model. The record is from RNAcentral.